RNAcentral lists this ribosomal RNA (498 nucleotides) under uncultured bacterium. RNAcentral describes it as "partial 16S ribosomal RNA". It matches the Rfam family "Bacterial small subunit ribosomal RNA", at positions 28 to 508 of the family's 1533-position model. The record is from RNAcentral.
GAUGAACGCUGGCGGCGUGCCUAAUACAUGCAAGUCGAGCGAACGGACGAGAAGCUUGCUUCUCUGAUGUUAGCGGCGGACGGGUGAGUAACACGUGGAUAACCUACCUAUAAGACUGGGAUAACUUCGGGAAACCGGAGCUAAUACCGGAUGAUAUUUUGAACCGCAUGGUUCAAAAGUGAAAGACGGUCUUGCUGUCACUUAUAGAUGGAUCCGCGCUGCAUUAGCUAGUUGGUAAGGUAACGGCUUACCAAGGCAACGAUGCAUAGCCGACCUGAGAGGGGGGACAGCCACCCUGGGAGUGGGCCCGGGCCCAGGCCCCCGCGGGGGGGGACAAGAGGGGAUUUUUCGGAAGGGGGCGAAGGCCUAGCGGAGCAGCGCGGGGUGGUUGAUAAGUGUUUCGGGAUCUAAAACUUUUUUUAUGGGGAAAAAAAAUAUUGGAAGGAACUUGUCCACUUUUGGAGGGUAAUUAAUAAAAAACCCACGCCUACCCCGGGC